This 2438-nucleotide long non-coding RNA is filed under the name Malus domestica (apple). RNAcentral's name for it is "long non-coding RNA (MDOM_LNC005178)". The record is from RNAcentral. Lineage: Eukaryota; Viridiplantae; Streptophyta; Magnoliopsida; Rosales; Rosaceae.
ACGUCUUGCAUGCGCAGAUUGGCUGAAACAGAGAAAAUGAAAGUAAUAAGGUUCUUUUAAGACCAAUUCCUUAACAAAACUUAGGGAGAAUUAACCUGAAAAUGUGAUAAAUAAUGCACCUAUCAUUGGUCCACUCAGUACCUAUAACAUGUUCAAAUUUCAGAAAAAUUCAACAAUGCGAUCAUCAAUAGCAGAUGUUUGAAACACCAACCCAGUUUUCAAUUCUGCAAAAAUCUGGACAGUCAUCUUAUGAGUGCCAAAACCCCAUUUUAGCAUUCAUAUAGAAAUGAUAUUUUCACAAAAGUUAUUCGUUAUCCUCUCAUCCACAUCAUACUAAAAUUUCAGUCAGAUCCAACAAUUUGAUCUUCCUAUAAUUGUCAAACACUACUGUUGAUACAUGACCAUGAUUAGAAAGAAAAAGGGAAGUGUAGUAAGUUAAUAUUUACUUUUUCCUUAUCAUUAUUAAUCUUGUUAUUAAUGUGACUGGUGCGGUAUAAUCGACCAUCAUACACCAUAUAUAUUGUAGUAUGAAUGGUACGGAUUGAUCACCCUCACCCUUACUUAUGUUAUAUAUAUUUGUGAAUGGUGCGACACUAUCACCCUUCUUACAAUAACAAUUAGGGAAAUUUUAUUUGAACCCAUAUAACAUCUUUCUACACCCAACUUAUUCUUUACACCCAUAUAGUUUUUAAUUAAAUUAUCAAUAUCUCUUUAAAUCCAAUUUUACUACCUAAACUACCCUCACAAACCUAAUAUAAUAUGCAAAUUUAUCUUUACACCCAUUUUAAAAUAAAAAUCCAGAAUCAGUGUUCUACAACUUGUUUUCCACAACUCGUUGAUUGAGAGUGUAAUGUCCAUACAUAUAUGGAGUCGUGUUUGAUGAAUUGGUCAAACAAGCAAUCUGGAAUCGGGAAGUUAUGUGAGUAGACAAGAUUAGAUGAAGUAAUUAACUCAUAUGUUACGAUGUUUUUGUGCUUAUUUGAGAUUGAAAUGUUAAACCAAUAUGCUUAUUUCUCUUACAACAGAAAUCGAGUUGGUUUUAAUCCUUGUGUGCUUUAUCUGAAUUGCAUUCCCGUUGUUUUUAUCCCAUCGCCGCUUCAUAAACAAAUGCAGUAGUGUUUUUCAAAUGCUUUAAUCUCAAGUUUUUACCUUGGUUUUAAGAUUAGGUGUAUUGGGUGGUGGAGUUGUAAUCCAUAUUCUUAGGCAUCACUUGGGUUUUAGCCACAGUAAUUCAAAUCUGCAUGAAUUAUAGGACUCAAAAUCAUUUUAUACAUACACAUACACUAGUAAUAAUAAUUAACUUAGGCCCUCAGUUGUCAUUGGAACCGGAGGUGGGUAUAUUGAUUAGUGGGUUUAUUGAUAAAUUUUAGUUUGAUUUCUGGUUUCAUCUUGUAUUUGGUAAUUAUACAAUAGGGUAAAACUGACCAUUCACAUUUUAAAUUUAAGUUAGGUGUAGAGUGAGGUUAUAUGGGUUCAAAUAAAAUUUCUCUAACAAUUAUUGUCUUUAAGUUUUGAUAUUUAUGUGAAUAGUGCUGAAUAAAAUCCGUGUCACAAUCAUUACUUAUCUAAAGCAAUUUAUGUGUACUUAAUUUUUAUGAUGAGUAUAUAUAGGAUCUGAAGUUCCUUGAUCUUUAUCAUAUAAAAAGAUUGGACCUGAAGUUCCACCAUAUAAAAAGAUCGAACCUGAAGUUCCUUGAUCCUCAUCAUAGAUCGGACCUGAAGUUCCUUGAUCAAAAUAAAACCUAAAGUUUUGAAUCAAUUGAGAGAACAACAGUUCCUCAACUUAAUUGAAAUCACGGUCAUAAGCACCUCAAUCCACAGACUAUUAAAUGAGAACCAGAAGUUCCUUGAUUCAUGUAAAUGAGAACCAUAAACUCCUUAAUCCAUGUACAGAUUAAGUAUGAGCAUGAAUUCCAAAAUGUGAACCUAAAGGUUCUAAUGGUGUCGAUAUCGAGAAUAAAUUUCUAGUACAUAUGAAUAAUGUUUUGGCCUGAAGUUCAAAAUAUAAAUAAUGUUAAUAACUUGAAGUUCUAACACUUUUGUGUGGACGUGUUUAUAUGGUAUGAAUUAAGCAAGUUUUGUCAUAACUGAAUUUCUUUCUUUCGGGAGUAAGAAUAUGGUGAACUUAGCAAAACUCGAUGUUGUUACCAUGGACAUUUUAUACAAGAGAUAAUUUCAUGAAUUCAUAAUGCCCGAGAAUUCAUGUGGAAGAAUAUGAUAUUAGAAAACAUCUUUGCUUAAAAGCUCAUUGAAUCAUAUUCAUGGAACCAGAAGUUUCCAUCGUUUCUUCAUUGAUUCAUAUUAAUGGAACCAAAAGUUUCCACAGUUUCCUAUAUCUAACAAACUGAACCAGAAGUUUCAGACAUGUAAAAGACCAUAACAGAGGGAACUUUUCUAUACAUACGCGUGCAUACACAUGAAUUACAACUACAACAAUA